UAGACAAAGCAUCUAUGGGAACGUUCUUCCACCCCUGAGAAAAAACAUCACUUGGAGGGAGGGUUAGGGUAUAGAUUGGGUUGAGGUAGCAAGAGAUGGGGGAUACAACAGAAAUUCUGUUAGAGAAGCUGAGACAAAUAACCAAUACCCCGCUUGGCCUCUUGGCUGCUUCGAGCCAUCUGCUGGGAGCUGAGAAGAACUUCAGGAAGAGUGACUGUACAACACAACGUGGAGACACCUGCAUCCAUCGCAUACUAUGGGUGGUUGAACUUAUUGGUUCACAGAUAAUCAUCCAGCCUCUGCAUAAAAUACGUUGUAUGAAAUCACCUGCACCGGACAAAAAGUAAAUAUUUUUCCUGGAAAUCACCAUGAGGGUCAUUGCACAAUUUGGAACCUGGCAAGAGUAUCUACAGGAAGAAAUACCUCUGCAAAUCUGCCUUAGAAACAAGUGUCUGGAUCCUUUUGGAGGAGAGCUUCGGUGCCAGAUUUAAGACAAAACUGGAAGUUUAAAUCCAAGUCUUCCUUGUUUCAGGGCCUUAUAAAAUUACUGGUUAUAAUAUUUCAGUCUAUGGCUGGGAACACCUUAAGGGUCCCACAAAGAUGCUACAUUGGAGAUCUAAAUUACUCCUGUGAAGUGAUAUAAAAACAAUAACAAGCAUGUAUGCAGCACUUUAAAAAUGAGGAGGACCAGGUACAUCAAUUGAUACAAUUUUUUUUAGAUACUUGAAAUUCAAAAAAAGAUUAGGUAUUUGUACUUGAUACUUCAUGAUUUUUCUUCUAUGUCUUUGUUAUCAAUAAAAAGACUUUUCAAAUAACAAAAGGAAUAAAUCAUGUGGUUUUAUCAAUAAGGACCAGAUGCAUCAAAUGAGGCAUAUGCUUAAACACUUUGAAUUUUUGUUGCAAAUAUGAUAAAAUGUUCCAGCAUUUAUUACUUUGGGGUUACUUCUUUGCCUAUAU
Molecule: non-coding RNA, 957 nt
Organism: Phascolarctos cinereus (koala)
Lineage: Eukaryota; Metazoa; Chordata; Mammalia; Diprotodontia; Phascolarctidae
Source: RefSeq, a predicted model, not a curated record